Aphis gossypii (cotton aphid) is the source of this 1707-nucleotide long non-coding RNA. RefSeq lists it as uncharacterized. The transcript is spliced from 3 exons. The record is from RefSeq and is a predicted model, not a curated record. NCBI's taxonomy places the organism in Eukaryota, Metazoa, Arthropoda, Insecta, Hemiptera, Aphididae.
UUAUAUAUAACGUGAAGUUUUUUGCUUAAAAAAAAACAUUAAUUCUUAUUAUUUCUCAACGUAAUAUACUAAUAUAAUAUAUAUUGCAACCUAUGAUAUAACAUAUUAUAUAAAAUGUUAUUGAAAGUUUGAUACAUGCUAAUACUUUUAGUAAAACUUUGGUUACGAUUAAAAAUUGAUUAUUGUUAACAUUUUAUUUAUCAAAAAGGUUAACGCGUAUCGACAGGUUUGUUUAGGUUAGAUAUAGUAAUUAUUAGGUUUAGCAGAUAUAUAUAGCUAUAUAGGUCACUUUGACAAGAAUUUUUAGACACUAUCUCUAGAUAUAUAAAUAAUUUGUGUGUUUUUAUAGUUCCCAAGUCUACUAUUUGAAAAGGCUUAUUCUAAAAUUUAAAAUAAAAUUUACUCGACUGCUGUAUAUUAUUAAGAGAGAAACGGUCGAUCGCGGCUCCUCAGCGACCCUCGAUCACCAUGGCAACGCAUCGAUUGUGUCCGGGCGUUGAAACUAUUCCAAAUUACCUGUGGGGGACCUGAAAUAAUUAUUUUUUAUUAUUGUUUUACUCGGUUUACCGUCCACAUGCAGUACAAAAUUUAUAAGCUUUAGUUAAUCUCACAGUCACAGCUGACACAUGAAAGCAUACGUGGAUAAAUGAAUAAAAACGCAAUAAUAAUAAAAUAUAUGAAGCUCGAAAAUCUAAGUACAAUUAAAUACAAACAAUACAAAUUGUCAGCCACACAAAUUUCGACACGCGUUUGUGAUAAUUUACAUCGUAUCGUUCAACAAGCUUUCGCAAAUCAUCAUGUAUUGGAUAGGUAUGACAAAAGACAAAUUGUAAAAUAGAUGUUCACAUUGACCGGCGCGCGGCGUUGGCACAAUAUGCUCGAUGUCAAAUGACGGCGAAGCGGAGCGGUAUUUUAUGGGCGACCACCCGCGUGCGUCGCAUGACCGUAUAUAGUGACAAAAAUCGGUUUUUACGAGAAGCACGCGCCCGACUCCACCACGUUCAGAGUGAGUGAGAGAGUGGAGGGGUGAAAACAUAUUGUGCAAAUCGACAAUGCACGCGCCCGCGUGUGUGUAAAUAUAAUAUACAAUAAUAAUAAUAACAAUAAUAUGUAUAUGUAUAAUAAUAAACGAUAUAUUUACUGGAUCACGUGCUCGGCCACUUAACCGACCGAGUGUAUCAGUUUCACCGAUUUUCACACGGUGUCGGUACGCCGUUCCCCUCUCACCGUGGCGUCACGACUACCCGCGGGGUGGCGGAUUUUUUUCCCGUGUUUCCACCGUAUAUAUACGUUCUCCCUCGCACGCCGGUAGACCUUGACGGCACGCUGCCCCCGCUGCAGCAGUUGACUCUCGAUCGCCACCAACAAUGCGCAGAUAAUUGGACGGAAUGAUAAUGUAGAUUAUAAUAUAUUAUAAUAAAAUAUAAGAACAUUUUUUUUUUCAAUACGUCAAAAUCGUACACCCGAUGAACACGUACACACUUCACAUGCAUCACGCUCAUACGAUUUUAUGCGUGUACAACGGCAAAAACUACCAUAAAACCGUGAUAUAUAUUAUAAUACAGGCUAACACGCCGUGUUAAGUUACUUUUAAAUUAACAUACUAGAAAACAUGAAAAAUUAAUAGAUGAGUCAAGAGUUUUUUUUUUUUUUUAAAUCAAAUGCAUGCACCUAUUUUAUCGACAAAUAUAUCAUUUAUAAAUAGUA